AACGCAAAUUCACAGCCAUUCGCAACAUAUUAAGUAUCUUAUCGAGGUUGAACCCUUCCGAGGCGUUCCUGGCCCAUGACACUUUGGAUUUAUGUUGCUGUCCCGACUCGUGUUUGUCUUUCUGUUUAAGAGAGUCCGAGCACGGACUGGGGUAGUAGUUUGGACUGGAGAUCAAAUUUUUAUAGGUCUUGGGUGCAACAAUACUUCUGGCAAGCCUUCGUGCUGGCCUAAGGGAUUACCUUCGUGUGCCCGGAUGAGAAUCGUUGCAAGGACCGAUAAUACAGUU
Molecule: small nucleolar RNA, 286 nt
Filed under: Tetrapisispora phaffii CBS 4417
Lineage: Eukaryota; Fungi; Ascomycota; Saccharomycetes; Saccharomycetales; Saccharomycetaceae
Source: RNAcentral